Pieris brassicae (large cabbage white) is the source of this 615-nucleotide long non-coding RNA. RefSeq lists it as uncharacterized. Lineage: Eukaryota; Metazoa; Arthropoda; Insecta; Lepidoptera; Pieridae. The transcript has 3 exons. The record is from RefSeq and is a predicted model, not a curated record.
GUUCAGUGAACUUAUACCUCAAAAGCAAACGCUGUCUAAGAGAUGCAGAAAAAAUCUAUCUGAAAUAGUGAGGCUCUGAAAAAAGUUUCAAGGUACAGUAAAGUGGAGCCACAUAGAGGAGUUUUAUAAUAAAGAUCGCGAGAAUCCCAACCGUGUUUGCUCCAGCUUUAACCCAGCACCACUUACAACCAGUACAGAAUGGCAAACAGAAAAUCAAAGAGCGCCUAGCAGAUCAAAUUUUAAGCCAUUCGGUUGCAGUUGGAAUAUUUGCCAAAAUGAAUGAUGACAAGACGCCCCUGGAACAACUGUCGCUGGACAAGCUUUUCGACUGAACGGAGAUUCGACCGACAGGAAAGAGGUAUAAACACUUAUUAUAAUAAUACUUGACAUCUGUAAUUGUGGAUGUGAUCCAAACCCCACGUCGGUCCAAUUAAAAACUAGCUUAGGCAAUUAGUAGCAGCGUUUUUAAUACGCUGAAAUUAUUAUUCUUCGAAGACACUAAACCUAGCUGCGCAACUGAAUAUCCCUGUAACAGCCAGAUGGAACCUCCAACCUCCCAGGGAAAUUAAGUGGCAUCGCCGACUCAGCUACGCCUACGUCUGGCUAUGCUCUCGG